GUAACGCACGGCCCGGUCUAGGGUUCGGGACUUGUGCUAGUGCGCUACGCCGGUUAGCACUCUUGGUGCUUGCCGGAUUUGGCCUUUCUGGACCGCGUGCCGCACUCCCGUGGGGCGGCAGCGUGUUCCCUAACUUAAGCUUGAGUUCGUCGGGGCGCGACGACACAAGCCGGACACUAACCAAGUCCUCCGCACUAUGGGGAGGAUGGUUGUGUCCUCGGUCCUCCAACACUGCCUGAAGGGCAGUGCCAAAAGAGGAGCUUUACGCAAAUUGCAAAUCCUAAGUCUAACUUGCAAAUUAACUACAAAUGAGAGAUCUAGGGAUAAUACAAACUACUCCUAUUUGUUGGCACUCGGGUUUAUUAAAAUCAACCUCCGCCUCACUCCGCGGCUCGCGUACAACUGCCUCCUCCUCACUCUUCGAGUGCAGGGAGGGGCGCAUGAAAACAUAUAGUUCAGGGGAAAAUUACAAUGAUGCGCUGCAUUCAGGUUGUAAAAAAAAGAAACAAAAAAAGAAAAAAAAAAAGAAAAAAAUUAGCUCAGCCUCAGGCUGGACUAAUUUCAGAGUCUCCUUUAGUUCCUUUUUUGUUGAGAAGGGAAGAAUAAAACAAACAACAGCGCCUUAUUUAGUGGGGAAAUGGGGAGAAAAUUAUUUUCUUCGUGGAUGCAACUCGCUGGACGGACGCUGCUCUGCUGAUCAGCGUAAGUUGUCGGCGUGGUGCGCACUUUGAAGAACUUUGGUGGUUGACGACUGGGUGUGACAAUCUGGUCGCGUAAGUUGGGGGCUGGUGUUGUUCUCAGGCGGUAUAGGUCGUGCUGCUCUGGUAUGGCUCCGGUGGACAGGGUGAAACAGGCUCUGGUGGACACGGUGAAACAGGCAGGGGGAUGAAACAUAUGGAGAAUCUGAAGGAAUCGGUGGUCAUGUUGUCUGCUGGAGAUGAAGAAGGAACAUAGCGAGUGGAAGAUGAGAAUCAACGGUGUCUGCUAGAAAAUAAAAUAUUAAUAUCAGAAAUUUAGAACUUGAGAAUAAUAAAAAAAAAUUGAAUUGCAGUUUUAUCAGAGCGUCCUACAUCAGGGUAAUUCGUAAAGAGCACAAGAGAAAAUAUUUUCCCUGUACGAAACACGUACGCUGAUGAUCUUGGGAGGCUUUUCUUGGAUUCUGUGAUGAUAAUCACGGAAUUGGUACAAAAUUGAUAAUAUCAUUAAUUUUUAGAUAUACGAGAAGGGUAGUUAUUUUAUUUCAUUAUUUUUAUUUUUUUUUAUUUUAUUUAUUUAUUAAUUUUUUUUGAAAACAUAGAGAAAUAUUAAAUUGUUAUAAGAAAACUGCAUGAUAUACUUGGAUAAUAAUCUAUUGGGCGUUCUACUCACUUGGAACGGGAACGUUUAUGUUGAAUGUUUGAAUGGUAAAAUUUGCUGAGACAAAAUCUGCAUACGGCCGCACUGGUCACCACUUAAAUAUAAGAAUUAUUGUAUGUACUUCUCUGUCUUGGUAGAAAUCGCGCGCCAGUCUAGUCAUCCAUAGAGGCUGGCACAAAGUGCAUAACGAGCGGCCAGUUAGAAGACGGAAAUAGUGGGCGUCACAUUUCAAUUGUUUGUUUACAUUGGUGCUCAUGCCGGCGACUGUCUUUGUUUUGGUUCGACUAAUUACUACUGAAAAAUGUAAAAAUAAACCAAAUGUGGCUGCCGCUCACGCGUCUUUUGGACUUAAAGUAAGUGAAAUGCCCGGCUAGAAUACAGAGUGAUCUGGUCGGCAUUCGCAAUAAUAGUUUUCCCAUUAUCUUUAACACCGAUCGGUUUCAGGCGGAAACUAUUGUCACCUAGAGUAUCAAUAAUUUGGUAAAUAGCACUCGACCGUUUCGCCGCGAGGCCUGCUGAGAAUUUAGUUGCUGCGUUUGAUAAUGGGUGAAUAUCAAGAAGGACCAGAUUUCCAAUUUGAAAAUGGCUUUAUCCGUUGACAAGUUUCACAUGAGCGAACCCAGUCAUGGACAUCGUCCCGCAUUCCUCUCCACCAAAAAGUAUUUGAAAUGCGCUGGGCUGUUUUUUGAACACCAAAGUGACCACCAACAAGUGAAUCAUGGCAGAUCUGCAAAACAGCUUUCCUCAUGUGAUCAGGAAAGUCCCUGAGGAUGGCUCUGGAGGUUUCGGUUGAGAAAACGUCAGCGGCGCUCUGUUGGAGCAGCGACUGCAGUGAUGGCCAUUCAAUCCUACUUCACAGGUGUCGAAACGCAAUUUGGCCUCCCUGUGCUCAUGAAGUGGAAUUUCGCGUUCUCGCCAAUCCUCCUCUGCUUUUAUUGGUACCGCAGUCUCGUCUGGCGCUCUACUGAGAGCAUCAGCAAGCUGAUUUGAUUUUCCUCGCCGGUCUCAAAGGGGCUUGGAAAGGUGGUCCAUCCUGCACUUUGAGGACUUGCUCUACACCUUUGGCGAGGCCAGGCUUUUCUGAAAAGACGCCCUUGGUGUAGAAAUCUGCCACUACCUUUUUUAUGAGGCCACCAGUGUCAUUCUCUAUCCUGCUAAGACUGUACUGGACGAAUGGGUGCUCAACUAAAGGGUUGUCUGUCUUAAACCAACCUGUUGGCGUGACUGCCAUCUUUGCCUGACAGAGGAAAUCGCGUCCCAAUAAGAUUUGAUCUGAAUUGUCAGGAACUGCGAAGAAAUUCUGCACAAAACUCCCUGCAGGAGUGUGAAUCUUGAUAGACAUUCCGCCAAGUAGGUUUCCCCUGACUUGUGCGCUUAUUCAGGUCAUUUUGUCUUGCGGCUGCUGCGCCAGGUGGGCCAUUUGAUUUCCAUGGUAAAGCCAGCUGUCCACGACCUGCGGCACCUUGGACUGCAGGACGUUGUGGCUGGUUAAUGGCGCGAGGUUGGAAACCUCCUCUGGUGGGUUGUCCCUGAUACCAAGGACGAGGGCCAGGGUGAGGCCCCCUGCCAAGUCUGGGGUUUAGAGAAUUUAGAGUGACCUGCUGACUCAUGGAUUGACUGCCAGGGUGGCCAUGCGCCUGGACCAAUGGUGUUUGAGGCGUCUUUCUGACUUGGUAAGCGAACGCAGGCUCUGCAAACUCGGCUGCUGGAGGCGGAAGCCGGUAAGUGCGAGAUCUGUAUAUUUCAGCUUGGACCAAUUUGAGUGUCUCAUCAAGGUCAGCAAUUGUUGCAAAUGUCCUACCGACAAUAAAUCGUCGAUAUUCAGGGUGA
Molecule: long non-coding RNA, 3186 nt
Organism: Cloeon dipterum
Lineage: Eukaryota; Metazoa; Arthropoda; Insecta; Ephemeroptera; Baetidae
Exons: 7
Source: RefSeq, a predicted model, not a curated record